This 490-nucleotide ribosomal RNA is filed under the name uncultured bacterium. RNAcentral's name for it is "partial 16S ribosomal RNA". It matches the Rfam family "Bacterial small subunit ribosomal RNA", at positions 30 to 507 of the family's 1533-position model. The record is from RNAcentral.
AUUGAACGCUGGCGGCAGGCCUAACACAUGCAAGUCGAACGGUAACAGGAAGAAGCUUGCUUCUUUGCUGACGAGUGGCGGACGGGUGAGUAAUGUCUGGGAAACUGCCUGAUGGAGGGGGAUAACUACUGGAAACGGUAGCUAAUACCGCAUAACGUCGCAAGACCAAAAAGGGGGACCUUCGGGCCUCUUGCCAUCGGAUGUGCCCAGAUGGGAUUAGCUAGUAGGUGGGGUAACGGCUCACCUAGGCGACGAUCCCUAGCUGGUCUGAGAGGAUGACCAGCCACACUGGAACUGAGACACGGUCCAGACUCCUACGGGAGGCAGCAGUGGGGAAUAUUGCACAAUGGGCGCAAGCCCGAUGCAGCCAUGCCACGUGUAUGAAGAAGGCCUUCGGGUUGUAAAGUACUUUCAGCGGGGAGGAAGGGAGUAAAGUUAAUACCUUUGCUCAUUGACGUUACCCGCAGAAGAAGCACCGGCUAACUCCGUG